Molecule: long non-coding RNA, 2686 nt
Organism: Cygnus atratus (black swan)
Lineage: Eukaryota; Metazoa; Chordata; Aves; Anseriformes; Anatidae
Exons: 3
Source: RefSeq, a predicted model, not a curated record
CAGCCAAUCAGCCCGUCAUAGUUCAUUUUAUUCUAUGGCACCCAGGAAUGGCAUUAUUCACAGCAUUCUCUUCUGCCCUAGACAUCACUGACAUCAACACCCAGCAAGAACCUGCAGCUGAUCACCUCCUGGACCCGGUUUGUCUGUAGCUGAGCCCGUCAGUAUCUCACUCAUCUGUAGGACAGGACCAGACAUUAAUGCCCCUGAUGGUUCCUGACAAGCCAUGACCCAUGGGAGAAGGAGCCUCACACCAGAAGGACCCUCACCAUAGUCCUUUGCAAGACUUGCCUUGCCUCCUUUGUCACACUGUUAUUCUCUGUGAUGGAGACAAAGACACCUGAGAAGGAUCCUGGGAACGUGCCGGAGUUGUGAUUUAUGGGUGUGUCCUUUGCAGCGAUGACUGAAGAUAACUUUUGAGAAGGGAGGUUGUAAGUGUACUGAGUUCACAUCCUCUCCUCUAACAGAUAGUGUCUGCUUGUUUACAUAUCACCCCCAUUUGUCUCCAGCUGUCUCUUAGGAUACAGCUAUGCUGCUCAAAAAAGAAGGCAUGGGAAUGAGCUCAAACACUCAGGCCUAGGCAUUCACACCACGCACUUAUUGGUUCACUUCUUUGCUCUGUUUUGGGUCACUCCAGCCACUCCUCUAACACAAACCUACCACGGAGAGAGAGAGCCCAAGAUGUGUAGACAUGAGCCAGUCAGCACCAACUGGUUUCAGGCCCAAAGACUCUCCCUUUCUCAUUUUAUGGUAUAGAUACAGCUUCAGGCAGUCAGUUCUUGGAAGAGACAGUUGCUGUGUACAGCAAUUAAAACAACCACAUCGUACUACCAAGUCUCUUGGUGCUAUAGUAAUAAAAAUAAUGAGGAUAGUUCCAGCUAGGAAGUGCCUUUCUUCACAGGAUGUUUCACUACCAAUCACUGUUUAUGAACUUGCCUAGCCCAGCUGUUAUAGCACCAAGCAGAAUAGCUGCAGCAUUAAGGAAGUCCAAAAAUCUGGAAACAGAAAGGCCACAACUACAUCUAAAGGCAUUCUUGCCUAUGACUUGGACAACUGUAAACAGUACUUGCCUAACUUACUGGAAUAACUCCUUUGUCUCGAGAUAACAAGUCUCAGGCUCAUAGAAAUUCGUCUGGCUAUCCUGAGGAUCUACAUAAUACUUCAUUUCAUCUUAGCCAAAUUAAUAGAGUUGUAAUAAACUCCAAGACAUUCACCUGCUGAUAUCUCCCAACUUUGAUCUAAGCAAGUUUUACCAACCCAAUCUGUUUUUUGGUGCUAAAUGCAUUAAAAGAAAUACCAAAAUAAAACUGAUCCCAAGAUCCUGAAGGAUCUCAUUAGUAACUUUCUUCGAGGUUGGUAGUGAAUGUCAUCUUCCUCUCAUUAGCUCUACUGCUUUUCACCCUCCUUAUCACUUAGUUCAUGUACUAACCCUUUCUUCAAACCAGUUUCCAAGGCAGCGCUAUACCAUUUUCUUUACUGAAGUCAAAGUAGAUUAGAAAUGCUGCAUUUCUCUUGUCUAUAAAGUUAUUUCCUUUAAUCAAAGAGACUACAUGGUCUCCUUUUGAACUCUCACCGGCCUUUGUGUUCCAUUUUUCAUUUAAAUCCAUACCUUUGCAUACUUUCACUGCUGGGCAGAAGGCUGUCUUGCACAAACUGUACCUGAAGCAGGAACUAUUAAAUACCACUCUGGGCCCUAACCAUGCCUUAUGUACUAACACAGGUGUAGCCAGGGAGGCUGACACUUUCUUACAGACCUAGAACCUCAUGAGCAGCUCAGGCACCAUACAGGUUGCCUUAUAUUCGAGUCAUGGGAAUGUUAAUUUCUCUCAUUUACUAGCCAAAGGACCUAAGGCAUCUUCCUCAGCAUUGUGGAUUUUGUUCCCAGAGCCAAAUUAACUUCCUGGCAUUACAUCCCUGCAUACCCUCUUGGGUCUGGCCCUUGAUCUAAGUGUGAACCAAAUAGUGUGUUUGAUCUCAGCCUCCUACUCUGUACACAGCAGCACUACUUCCUCCUUUUUUAUUUCGUUUCUAUUUAUAUAGAUACCAAACCUUUCAGCAUUUAUCUUCACAGAUCUUUGCAGGGUCUAACGCAGCUUGACUUUUGGCACUUGUUGCUGAGUUCUUACAUUUUCUGACCUUCAAGAUUUAGCUGCCUAGAUUGACUGACCUCUUUAUCCGUUCCCAUAGACUGUUUACACCUAAUAUCCUUUCUUGGGCAAUCAUUCAUCCAGGUAACUCAGAAGAACUUCCUCAUUAGUUUUUCCCUUGCCUAGCAAGCAAAUUCCAGAAAGAUUUUAUACCACUGAUAUAAACUCCUUCAUGUGCAACUCCUGAGCUUGUCAAACCAGUUAAUUCCACUCAGAGCUUUUCUUAAAUUUCUUGACAAUUUCCCUGUGGGGAAAAAAAGAAAUCAGAAAGAUAAAUUUUAUCCUUUUUAUCCCAUUCUACUGAAACACCAUCAACGCCUUGGUCCAAAAUUACUUAGUGUAACCAGGUCUUCUAUAACAUGUUCACUACCAAAACUACACCCAAAAUACAACCCCUUUUUCUUGUGGGGAUAAGCAAGUGUGCUAUCAUAUCUCUUUAUUCUUGAGUUUGCAGCUGGAAUAUUAAGCACUUGCCUACUGUCAAUUGCCGUUAAUAUUUAUUCCUGAUAUUGAAAACACACUAAAGGUUUAGAGUUUUAUAU